UGGGGAAUAUUGGACAAUGGGCGAAAGCCUGAUCCAGCCAUGCCGCGUGUGUGAAGAAGGUCUUCGGAUUGUAAAGCACUUUAAGUUGGGAGGAAGGGCAGUAAGCGAAUACCUUGCUGUUUUGACGUUACUCGCAGAAUAAGCACCGGCUAACUCUGUGCCAGCAGCCGCGGUAAUACAGAGGGUGCGAGCGUUAAUCGGAUUUACUGGGCGUAAAGCGUGCGUAGGCGGCUAAUUGAGUCGGAUGUGAAAUCCCCGAGCUUAACUUGGGAAUUGCAUUCGAUACUGGUUAGCUAGAGUGUGGGAGAGGAUGGUAGAAUUCCAGGUGUAGCGGUGAAAUGCGUAGAGAUCUGGAGGAAUACCGAUGGCGAAGGCAGCCAUCUGGCCUAACACUGACGCUGAGGUACGAAAGCAUGGGGAGCAAACAGG
Molecule: ribosomal RNA, 429 nt
Filed under: Pseudomonadota bacterium
Lineage: Bacteria; Pseudomonadati; Pseudomonadota
Description: Proteobacteria bacterium partial 16S ribosomal RNA
Rfam family: Bacterial small subunit ribosomal RNA
Source: RNAcentral